UACGUAGGUGGCAAGCGUUGUCCGGAUUUACUGGGCGUAAAGGGCGUGCAGGCGGUUUGUUAAGUGCAGAGUGAAAGCUCCCGGCUCAACUGGGAGAGGUCUUUGCAUACUGGCAAACUCGAGGGAGGCAGAGGAAAGUGGAAUUCCCGGUGUAGCGGUGAUAUGCGUAGAUAUCGGGAGGAACACCUGUGGCGAAGGCGGCUUUCUGGGCCUUACCUGACGCUGAGACGCGAAAGCGUGGGGAGCGAACCGG
This 253-nucleotide ribosomal RNA is filed under the name uncultured bacterium. RNAcentral's name for it is "partial 16S ribosomal RNA". It matches the Rfam family "Bacterial small subunit ribosomal RNA", at positions 524 to 776 of the family's 1533-position model. The record is from RNAcentral.